This 465-nucleotide ribosomal RNA is filed under the name Vreelandella stevensii. RNAcentral's name for it is "partial 16S ribosomal RNA". It matches the Rfam family "Bacterial small subunit ribosomal RNA", at positions 338 to 795 of the family's 1533-position model. The record is from RNAcentral. Lineage: Bacteria; Pseudomonadati; Pseudomonadota; Gammaproteobacteria; Oceanospirillales; Halomonadaceae.
CCUACGGGUGGCUGCAGUGGGGAAUAUUGGACAAUGGGGGGAACCCUGAUCCAGCCAUGCCGCGUGUGUGAAGAAGGCCCUCGGGUUGUAAAGCACUUUCAGUGAGGAAGAACGCCUGGUGGUUAAUACCCAUCAGGAAAGACAUCACUCACAGAAGAAGCACCGGCUAACUCCGUGCCAGCAGCCGCGGUAAUACGGAGGGUGCGAGCGUUAAUCGGAAUUACUGGGCGUAAAGCGCGCGUAGGUGGCUUGAUAAGCCGGUUGUGAAAGCCCCGGGCUCAACCUGGGAACGGCAUCCGGAACUGUCAAGCUAGAGUGCAGGAGAGGAAGGUAGAAUUCCCGGUGUAGCGGUGAAAUGCGUAGAGAUCGGGAGGAAUACCAGUGGCGAAGGCGGCCUUCUGGAAUGACACUGACACUGAGGUGCGAAAGCGUGGGUAGCAAACAGGAUUAGAUACCCCUGUAGUC